This 335-nucleotide unclassified non-coding RNA is filed under the name Hevea brasiliensis (rubber tree). Lineage: Eukaryota; Viridiplantae; Streptophyta; Magnoliopsida; Malpighiales; Euphorbiaceae. The record is from RNAcentral.
AUGGUUUGGACCUUUUGUGGGCUGUGCAUCUAUUUGCACUAGGAAUACACAUACAACUUUAUGCUAUUGAAUUCUGCAACCGAUUUAUGCAUAGUCGAAAGUUUGUGUUUAAUCACUGCUGCAUUUUCAUGCUAAUUUAAAAUGUUACGUCUGCAAACUCUUGAGGGACUUCAGUUCUUUUGGCAUGCAUGAAGGAAAUAAUGAAUUACAGAAUCCCCAAUAACAACCACUUGUGGUGCAACCUGUCAAUAGUGUGCCACACAUUGGUUCACCUGCACCAGUCGGUGAUUACGACUAUUGCAAACUGAAGCUGAUGCCCAACCUGUUGAAAAAGU